Molecule: long non-coding RNA, 1269 nt
Organism: Oncorhynchus gorbuscha (pink salmon)
Lineage: Eukaryota; Metazoa; Chordata; Actinopteri; Salmoniformes; Salmonidae
Exons: 4
Source: RefSeq, a predicted model, not a curated record
UCCAGUUCAAUUGCUUGUAUUCAGAGUCUUUCUUAUUACAUAAAUAAGUACUAAGUGUUAAGACACUACACCCGGCAUCAGAACUUUCCAGGCAUUCCCGUGAUUGACAUAUAGCACGUUGAUUGGAAUGUUGGACCCCGUGAACACUGGGUACUAGUUCCCAUUUAAUGACCAUCCCAGGCUGCAGCAGUUGGUAGCAAAUGUCAGGUGGAUGAAUUGGAAACCAACCCAACACUCUCGUCUCUGCCCAUCUCUUUGAAGAUGAAUGUUUUGGGCAUGAUAACAAGAGAAAAUUCUACCUCACCCCGAUUUCUGUGCCCACCUUUUUUUUUCUUCGCUGAGUAGUCACAAUUCCCCAGGGAAAGACAAGGAAUACAGUAGGUACAGAGUCAGGUGCCCUCACUCAGAAGUAGUGCGGCGGCCUGGAAUUGACUGGUGUCUACCUUGGCAGGACGCCGCCGAGGAGGAAGCCCUGCAGAGUCUCAAAGCAACGCUGCCGCCGCUGCUGUUUUCUUGCCUCUACCAGAGAACUACAUGGCUUAUUACAGUGGUGCUGCAGGCCUCUGACGUCACUAGGCGAUGUUCCCACACCUCAGUGGAUCCAAUGACGACAAACCAUUGCUCUCCAUCUCAUUUGGCUGUGAUUUUAUUUUUUUGCAUGCUUCUUCAUUGCAUAACCCUUACCCAUGGCCCUUUCUUUAUUGGGUGUCAUUUACCUUUUGUUUUCAGAUGCCACUUAACUGAGUUCUGCCUGUGUGUUCCAGCUAAAAUUGGUAAUCGCAUGCCAGUUCCAGGCCAGCUGCUGUUGAUUCCUUGCCUCUACUAGAGAGCUACCUUGCUGACUACAUGCCGCUGAUGUCACCAGGCGAUGUUCCCAAACCUCAGCUGAGCAAAGGAUCCAAUACCGACAAACCAUGCUGGAGAUCUUCAAUGGCACAGUAGUACAGCUUCUUGGUUAAAUACGAAUUCUUUACUCUCUACAGUUGGAUUGACAAUGGUGCUUGUGUGCAUCUAAAAUGUUUUAUGAUCUUUGAUGAGAGCCAUCAUCAUAUGGCUUUAGAAGUACAACACUGUGAUCUAAGUGACCUUUGUGGAAAGCCUAGAUAUGGAAUAGCUUGGAUGUCAUCAGACUUUUGGGCAAGUCAUGAUGAGGUUAAAUGAUGUCCUCUGUCUUUCUCACUCCUAUCCUCUCUGUCACCCCUCUCCUCUCUCUCUCUUCUGUGCUCUCCCCUGUCUCCUCAAAUCAAAUCAAAUUUUAUUGGCCACAUA